UACGAAGGGUGCAAACGUUGCUCGGAAUUAUUGGGCGUAAAGCGCGUGUAGGCGGCUUUGCAAGUCGGGUGUGAAAUCCCUCAGCUUAACUGAGGAAGUGCGCCCGAAACUGCCGAGCUUGAGUACCGGAGAGGGUGGCGGAAUUCCCCAAGUAGAGGUGAAAUUCGUAGAUAUGGGGAGGAACACCGGUGGCGAAGGCGGCCACCUGAACGGAUACUGACGCUGAGACGCGAAAGCGUGGGGAGCAAACAGG
Molecule: ribosomal RNA, 253 nt
Filed under: uncultured bacterium
Lineage: Bacteria
Description: partial 16S ribosomal RNA
Rfam family: Bacterial small subunit ribosomal RNA
Source: RNAcentral